UCAACAACAGAAUUAGCGAAAGUGAUCAGAGCACAGUCUCCAUGGAGCAAAGACCUGUUUUCUCUCAUGUGGCGCUGCUACCAAAUUAAACCGAACUGAAUCAGAAUUGACCUGGCUGGAUGUGAUCAAGCAGCUUGUACUGGAACCUCAAUUCUAAAGAAUCUGCAGGUGAGCUUGGGCAACACGCAGGCCUGGAUUUAAAGAGUACAGAAUACUGAGAUCAUUGUGGGAACUCCAAGCCAGGGCAGCAGCCGCCACCCCCAACUCCACUCAGUCCCAGAGCCCCCUAUAUACACCGCCAGCCGAUGGGCAUCAGGUGUGCCUCCUUGAGUCCAAACAAGCCACGAGGAUCCACAGGUGUGACUAAUUGAGCUCAAGGGUGAAAGGAGGGACGUCUACAAGACCCAGAGUCCAGAGUCCGUGAACUGGAUCAAGAACCGGAAUGCGGGCUCGAACCGGACCAUAACAGACAUGG
This is a long non-coding RNA of Hypanus sabinus (Atlantic stingray), 475 nucleotides long. RefSeq lists it as uncharacterized. NCBI's taxonomy places the organism in Eukaryota, Metazoa, Chordata, Chondrichthyes, Myliobatiformes, Dasyatidae. The record is from RefSeq and is a predicted model, not a curated record. The transcript is spliced from 3 exons.